UACGUAGGUCCCGAACGUUGCGCGAGUUUACUGGGCGUAAAGGGUCCGUCGGCGGUUUAGCAAGUGGUUGGUGAAAUUUCACGGCUCAACCGUGAAACUGCCUUCCAAACUGCUAAACUUGAGGCAGGGAGAGGUCGGCGGAAUUCCCGGUGUAGCGGUGAAAUGCGUAGAUAACGGGAGGAACACCAGUGGCGAAGGCUGCCGACUGGAACUGUCCUGACGCUGAGGGACGAAAGCUAGGGGAGCAAACCGG
Molecule: ribosomal RNA, 253 nt
Filed under: uncultured bacterium
Lineage: Bacteria
Description: partial 16S ribosomal RNA
Rfam family: Bacterial small subunit ribosomal RNA
Source: RNAcentral